Long non-coding RNA from Cimex lectularius (bed bug), 634 nucleotides. RefSeq lists it as uncharacterized. The record is from RefSeq and is a predicted model, not a curated record. The transcript is spliced from 2 exons. Lineage: Eukaryota; Metazoa; Arthropoda; Insecta; Hemiptera; Cimicidae.
GAACAUCAGUAUGGUUUCAGAAAAAAUGUUCAAAAUUCUAAAUUGUUAAAUAUGAACAACCGAGUAAGUAAAACGCUAAGAGCGAAUACUACAGGUGCAAGAAAUGCAAAACACACCAAGUGCCAUUUGCAGUAGUUUGUUUGCCAAAGGAGAACGGAAGCCGUCCUGACACUUACACCUACUGACAACUUACAUAUCCAACGUCUGUUCCAGGGCGGGGAUGUAUUGAAGACUGGCUUCAGACGACUGUUCGAGGUAGUUGAUAAGAUUGACAUUUUUAUUGGGGUUCUCCCAGGCGUCUUGAUGUACAGGACCUGUCCAAGAGACGAUAUCCGUACAGACGCGGGCGACAGCUCUUGCAUCUCCGGACAGGCACCUGACGAGUUCCCUUUCUAUUUCCUCGCAACCGUAGCCGUCCCGCUGCUGCUCUCUGCUAGCUUCCUCCUCCAUUUCUUAUCAUCACACCCUAGGGAUUUUGAAAGGGGACGCCGAAAAAUGACAACUGUUUUGUCGGAUAAAGAAAUUUUAUAUAACAGACACGUUUAUGUUUGUUUAUACCAAUGUGAUUGUCACCUGGUUUAUAAUUUUCGACUUUGAAGGAAUUGUUUUUCAAUUAAAUAAAAAUAAAACUGGA